GUGGGGAAUCUUGCGCAAUGGGCGAAAGCCUGACGCAGCCAUGCCGCGUGAAUGAUGAAGGUCUUAGGAUUGUAAAAUUCUUUCACCGGGGACGAUAAUGACGGUACCCGGAGAAGAAGCUCCGGCUAACUUCGUGCCAGCAGCCGCGGUAAUACGAAGGGGGCUAGCGUUGCUCGGAAUUACUGGGCGUAAAGGGCGCGUAGGCGGACAGCUUAGUCGGAGGUGAAAGCCCAGGGCUCAACCUUGGAAUUGCCUUUGAUACUGGCUGUCUUGAGUUUGGGAGAGGUGAGUGGAACUCCGAGUGUAGAGGUGAAAUUCGUAGAUAUUCGGAAGAACACCAGUGGCGAAGGCGACUCACUGGCCCAAUACUGACGCUGAGGCGCGAAAGCGUGGGGAGCAAACAGGAUUAGAAACCCUAGUAGUCC
Molecule: ribosomal RNA, 425 nt
Filed under: uncultured bacterium
Lineage: Bacteria
Description: partial 16S ribosomal RNA
Rfam family: Bacterial small subunit ribosomal RNA
Source: RNAcentral